CCUGGCGGCGGCGUCCGCGUCGCCAGUGGUUUUUUUUUCUGUGUGUGGGCCGGAGGGAGAGGCGUCCGGAUCCGGUGGGGGCGGCAGUCCUCCCUUUUGCCGUCCCGGGCAGCUCCGCGUGAAGGCCGGACGCAUCGCGGGGCUGUGGGAGAGGUUUCUUCAUAAAGUCGGAAAUAAAAGCAUAUCAGUUAAGUACUUUUAUAAUUUAAUUAUCUGUGAUCUCUAAAUAAAAACUUGAUGUUCUUUUUAAGCCUUCUUUUUUCUUUCACUUUAGGUACCUGUUGAGAAGUUGCCCACGAUAGCAAGGUACUCAGACUCUUUCAAUAAAUUCUGCAUUCCAUGUCAAAA
This is a long non-coding RNA of Ochotona curzoniae (black-lipped pika), 348 nucleotides long. RefSeq lists it as uncharacterized. The record is from RefSeq and is a predicted model, not a curated record. The transcript has 2 exons. NCBI's taxonomy places the organism in Eukaryota, Metazoa, Chordata, Mammalia, Lagomorpha, Ochotonidae.